GCCAGUGCUCGGGAAACAAUGGCCUUGCUGGGAUCAAAGAGAGUGAGGCCCAGACAAGGGACAAAAGCUGAAUCCCAGCAGGGUCACCCACUGGGUAUUUUAGGCAAGAUUCAUCCAUCUGGCAACCUGCCUUGGCAUGCCCCAAACAGCUAACCCUCCAGGAGCAGGUGACGAGGCAACUUCUCAUCUUGCUGCUCUCUUGUAUUCUUGAAACAACCUUGAGAAUUAGGUAGUAUUCACCUGGAGUAGAUAAGGAUCCCAGAAGCAAGUAAUGAAACACAGCUUGUAAACCCAGAACUAAAGCAGAGGCCACUUCUUCAGGCCUCAAGCCCCAUGCCUGUUCUACCACUCUGUGCUUCCUGAUACAAUGUGAAUGACAGGAGCGCGGACCAUCUGACAGUCACAUCUCAUCAGAAAGCACUGGAGGAACCAGGAAUUCUGGACCUGGAGGAGAGAAGACUUAGAAAGCAAACAUUUCUUCCAGCACAUGCCAGGACGACAAAUUGCCUGAUGCAAAAGCAAGCAAUAACGUCUAUAAGGAAGGGGCGCCUGGGUGGCUCAGACAACAGUU
This is a long non-coding RNA of Herpailurus yagouaroundi (jaguarundi), 571 nucleotides long. RefSeq lists it as uncharacterized. The transcript has 3 exons. NCBI's taxonomy places the organism in Eukaryota, Metazoa, Chordata, Mammalia, Carnivora, Felidae. The record is from RefSeq and is a predicted model, not a curated record.